This 3306-nucleotide long non-coding RNA is filed under the name Marmota monax (woodchuck). Lineage: Eukaryota; Metazoa; Chordata; Mammalia; Rodentia; Sciuridae. The record is from RNAcentral.
CUUGGGGUAUAUCUCAGAUAAGAGUGCUUGCCUAUCAUGGGCAAAGCCCUGGGUUUAAUCCCCAACACUGCAAAAAAAGAAAAAAAAACAUUUAAAAAUGUAAGUAAAUAAAUAAAAACAAAUAAAUAAAGGACUGGGUGUGGCUUCUAGACUGAUCCAGAGUGGUCAACAUGUAGCUUGGCCCACACCCUGUUACACCUCUCACUGCCUGCUGGGGCUUCUGUCAUGAGAGAGGACUGGCUGGGGACAGGGCAGUGUGCCUCAAACGCUUGAUACCCUGUUUAGGUUUGGGUGUUUCUUGCAUUUACUAAGUAUUCACUGCUGUGAGGCCUUCAGAUGCAUUAUCCUCUGCUGAUCUGGUGGACUUUACUGGGAAACAGUAAAGUGGGGUGGGAACUUUGAUCCCAGCUCCCUUCCUGGACCUCAGGGGCUCCAUCAGUGAGUCCAUUCACCCCUCCUCUGGCCCUUGUCCUGCUUUACCUCCCUCUGCAAGCUCACAGCUCCUACUUGCAUACCUCCAGUGGCAGGGAGCUCGCUACCUUUCAGAGUCAUCUCAGCCAUCACUAGACAGCCAUGGGAGACAUCUUUGUCUCACUGAACACAAUCCAGCUUCCCUGUGACUUUUCUUAUCAUCUCCAUGUGCACAAGUUUUCUCUCUAAUCUGAAAAAGCUCCAAAGAUAUAUAGAUAGAGAUUCCCGAGGCUGCUCCUCUUCAGACUGAAAAAUCUCAGCUCUUUCAAAUAUUGAAUAGAUUAAUGACAAAAUUAACAGCAAGUGAAGACAAGAGUUUUAGUUAGGAUGAAAAAAAAAAUCAGUUCCACGACUCUGGUGCCCUGAAGUGAGAAGCAGCAACUCUGGGGGUUCUAUUAGGAGAGGUAUGAACUCUGUUAUUUCUUCAUUUUCCCUUCAGUUGAGAUGGACUCAGUCCCCACCCACUUGAGGGUGAGUCCUGACCCAACUUUGCCCUUCCCUCUCCUGGGCUGUGUCAUCUUUGCCCAAAGCCUUAAUCUCUGUCCAUAAUGGUUGAAUUCUAAGCCUCUAUUUCCAGUUCAGAUCUCUCUCUCCCCUAAAUGCCCAGUGGAAACACCAAGCUUUGUCCUGAGAUGUCCCCAGGCUGCCCCUGGACCCAGCAUCCUUGCCCCUUUGCUCCCUGCUUGUCUCCCUCACCAAGUCACGCAUCUCCCCAGGGCAGGGCUGUGGAGCUGUGCCUGGCACCGAGCAGAAGGAGAGAGGUUUGCUAAACGCAUGAACACCUGAUGGCUUCUCACCCGGGCCCCACGGGCCAUUCUUCUAGUUUUCUUCAGUUGAAAAACCAGUAGAGACAUCCAGGUGCUGCCUGUCAGAGGACCAGGAGCCGUUUUGACUCUGGACCUCUGAAUCCCCUACUUCUUGUAUGAUCUGGAAUAUGAGGGAGAAGCCAAGGGGGACUCAGGGACUUAAGUUUGCUCAGCUAGAUGAGCUUGUUGCUUGUCCUGAUUGUGCCCCUUGCAUGGUCUUUUCGUCCUUUUCUAGUUAUCUCCAUGCAUGCUUUUAAUCCCAGGCGCCACCACCCCUCUCUUGGAUUCCUUCCAGAGCCUGCUCCCUGCUUUCCAGGCUAUUCCCCAAGCUGUGCAUGGAGACACCUUGCUGGAAUGCAUGGCUGCCCAUGUCAUGCCCUUGCCUACAACCUUACCGUAACCUUGCAUUAUCUGUAAGGUGACGAUCACACCACCCCUCUCCGGCAUCCCUUCUAGGGUCCAUUCACUGCAAGAUCCUCAGACCUCUUCCGCUCUCUGCUCCCCAGUGGGGUUGUUCCCCAUCAUUGACAGCAGCCUUGCUGUCUGCUCCCCCCAGGCUGCUCUUCCCACCCUUCUUCCACCAUGGAAGCUCUUCUCUCCCCAGGUCCCUCCCAAAUCCACAUCUUAGCCCGGGUCUGACCUCCAGACUCACCACCUCCAAACCAAACUAGGAAUCCUGCCCCUCCUGCUCAGAAAAGCCUCCUCCUGCAGUUCCCCCAGCUCAUCUAGCUGAGCAGACUUAAGGCCUUGAGUCCCCCCUUAGCUUCUCUCUCAUAUUCCAAAUCAUAUUGAUUCUAUCCUCAAAAUAGGGCUAGACUCACCCACACAUCCCCAGCUCCAUAGCUCCUCCCUGACCUGAGCUGGUGCCGUCUCUGGCUGAAGCUUGCAUGAACCUCUUCCGGAUAGGGGCCUCCCUGUCCUGCUCUCCUUGCUCCUCGUAAUCCCUUCUCAACCCAGCAGCCCAAUUAUGUUUCUUGUGAUCAAAACUCUCCAGUGGCUUCCUGGUCUCCACUGGAUUAGAAGCUAAAGUCCUUACAGUCACCCACAGAGUCCCAAAGGAGUGGACCUCUUGCAGCCUUCCCAACCCCACUCCCCACCUCCCUGCAGUCACCUCCCCCAGCCACACUGACACUCCCUCCAUGAUCCUUUCUCAGGGCCUUUGCACUUGCUGUUUUCCUUGCCUGGAAUCCUUUCCCCUCCAAGAGCUGGACACCUUCCUCACCCUCAGCUCUGUUCAGAGGAGCCAUCCCCGUGAAUUUACAUAUGUCAGCAUGCCCUUCCUUGAGGACUCUCUGCUCCUGCUCCUGUCUGGGCUUUUCUUACUGCCAUUAGACCUGCUUCAUCUACUUAUUGUUUGUUUCCUGGCUCUAGAAUUUGAUUGCUCUAGAAUUUCGGCCCAUGGGGACAGGGGUUUCAUUGUGCUGUUCCCUUGCAUACUGAACAGCGCCUGGUCCUCAGAAGACUCAGUAAAUACCUGUUGAAUGAGUCGUAGACUUACCACUACCUUCUCCUGACCUCCCAGACUAGAUGGUGUCCUCAUUGAUAUAUUCUUGGUGUCCAUACACCUGUUUUGAAACAUUUGGCACAACUGCAAUUACAUAGCUGUAUGAGGUGAGCUUUACCUUACAUCACUACUGGACUUCCAGUCCUCUAGUGGACACUAAAUAGGUGUUGUAUGAAUGAAUGAAUUAAAGUAAGUCAGAGUGUUAUUGGAGAAACUGCUCAAUAAGCAGGUGCUCCAGUCUCAGGCUGGUUGUAGGGAUGGCCCUGUCCCUCCUCAUUUACUUUGUGGCCUUCAGGUGGUCCCUUCACAGUUUCCCCAGGUGAAAAAUAAGUAUCAAGAUCACACUAUUCAGGAUGAGCUUUUAGGCCAGAAAAGACUGAUUCUGGAAGCCAGCUUGGUUCUGCUGCUGGCCUGGAGCCCUGGAUGGGGGAGCAGGGGUGUGCUGGAAUCACUGGGCAAAGAUUUGGCCUUGGGAUCUCUGCUGGCAGGCUGACUCCUGGCCGGGGGCCAGCCCUUUAGUUUCUU